This 253-nucleotide ribosomal RNA is filed under the name uncultured bacterium. RNAcentral's name for it is "partial 16S ribosomal RNA". It matches the Rfam family "Bacterial small subunit ribosomal RNA", at positions 524 to 776 of the family's 1533-position model. The record is from RNAcentral.
GACGAACCGAGCGAGCGUUGUUCGGAAUCACUGGGCUUAAAGGGCGCGUAGGCGGGUGCUCAAGUCCGGGGUGAAAUCCUCCAGCUCAACUGGAGAACUGCCUCGGAUACUGGGUGUCUCGAGGGUGGUAGGGGUAUGCGGAACUAUCGGUGGAGCGGUGAAAUGCGUUGAUAUCGAUAGGAACUCCGGUGGCGAAGGCGGCAUACUGGACCACAUCUGACGCUGAGGCGCGAAAGCCAGGGGAGCAAACGGG